RNAcentral lists this ribosomal RNA (254 nucleotides) under uncultured bacterium. RNAcentral describes it as "partial 16S ribosomal RNA". It matches the Rfam family "Bacterial small subunit ribosomal RNA", at positions 524 to 776 of the family's 1533-position model. The record is from RNAcentral.
UACGGGGGGAGCAAGCGUUGUUCGGAUUUACUGGGCGUAAAGGGCGCGUAGGCGGCCACCGCAAGUCGACUGUGAAAUCUCCGGGCUUAACCCGGAAAGGUCAGCCGAUACUGCGGGGCUAGAGUGCAGAAGGGGCAACUGGAAUUCUCGGUGUAGCGGUGAAAUGCGCAGAUAUCAGGAGGAACACCGGUGGCGAAGGCGGGUCUCUGGGCCGAUACUGACGCUGAGGAGCGAAAGCGUGGGGAGCAAACAGG